AAUGGGCGCAAGCCUGAUCCAGCCAUGCCGCGUGAAGGAUUAAGGCCCUCUGGGUUGUAAACUUCUUUUGUAGAGGAAAAAACCCCCCGAUUCUUUGGGGGCUGAUGGUACUCUGCGAAUAAGCAUCGGCUAACUCCGUGCCAGCAGCCGCGGUAAUACGGAGGAUGCGAGCGUUAUCCGGAUUUACUGGGUUUAAAGGGUGCGUAGGCGGCUUUGUAAGUCAGUGGUGAAAGCUCCCGGCUUAACUGGGAAAUUGCCAUUGAUACUGCUUAGCUUGAGUACAGUUGAGGUAGGCGGAAUAUGUCAUGUAGUGGUGAAAUACUUAGAUAUGACAUAGAACACCGAUUGCGAAGGCAGCUUGCUAAACUGUAACUGACGCUGAGGCACGAAAGCGUGGGGAGCAAA
This 405-nucleotide ribosomal RNA is filed under the name uncultured bacterium. RNAcentral describes it as "bacterial SSU rRNA". It matches the Rfam family "Bacterial small subunit ribosomal RNA", at positions 370 to 772 of the family's 1533-position model. The record is from RNAcentral.